CCUACGGGAGGCUGCAGUGGGGAAUAUUGCACAAUGGGGGAAACCCUGAUGCCGCGACGCCGCGUGAGUGAAGAAGUACUUCGUUAUGUAAAGCUCUAUCAGCAGGGAAGAAAAUGACGGUAACUGACUAAGAAGCCCCUGCUAACUACUUGCUAGCAGCCGCGGUAAUACGUAGGGGGCAAGCGUUAUCCGGAGGUACUGGGUGUAAAGGGAUCGUAGACGGCUGUGCAAGUCUGAAGUGAAAGCCCAGGGCUCAACCCUAGUACUGCUUUGGAAACUGUGAGGCGAGAGUGCUAGAGAGGAUAGUAGAAUUCCUGGUGUAGCGGUGAAAUGCGUAGAUAUUAGGAGGAACACCGUUAGCGAAGGCGGCUUACUGGACAGUAACUGACGUUGAGGCGCGAAAGCGUGGGGAGCAAACAGGAUUAGAUACCCGUGUAGUC
RNAcentral lists this ribosomal RNA (440 nucleotides) under uncultured bacterium. RNAcentral's name for it is "partial 16S ribosomal RNA". It matches the Rfam family "Bacterial small subunit ribosomal RNA", at positions 338 to 795 of the family's 1533-position model. The record is from RNAcentral.